AGAGGAAGGUCCCCCACAUUGGAACUGAGACACGGUCCAAACUCCUACGGGAGGCAGCAGUGAGGAAUAUUGGUCAAUGGGCGCAGGCCUGAACCAGCCAAGUAGCGUGAAGGAUGACUGCUCUAUGGGUCGUAAACUUCUUUUAUAUGGGAAUAAAGUAUUCCACGUGUGGGAUUUUGUAUGUACCAUAUGAAUAAGGAUCGGCUAACUCCGUGCCAGCAGCCGCGGUAAUACGGAGGAUCCGAGCGUUAUCCGGAUUUAUUGGGUUUAAAGGGAGCGUAGGUGGAUUGUUAAGUCAGUUGUGAAAGUUUGCGGCUCAACCGUAAAAUUGCAGUUGAAACUGGCAGUCUUGAGUACAGUAGAGGUGGGCGGAAUUCGUGGUGUAGCGGUGAAAUGCUUAGAUAUCACGAAGAACUCCGAUUGCGAAGGCAGCUCACUAGACUGUCACUGACACUGAUGCUCGAAAGUGUGGGUAUCAAACAGGAUUAGAUACCCUGGUAGUCCACACAGUAAACGAUGAAUACUCGCUGUUUGCGAUAUACAGUAAGCGGCCAAGCGAAAGCAUUAAGUAUUCCACCUGGGGUGUA
This 587-nucleotide ribosomal RNA is filed under the name uncultured bacterium. RNAcentral's name for it is "bacterial SSU rRNA". It matches the Rfam family "Bacterial small subunit ribosomal RNA", at positions 295 to 882 of the family's 1533-position model. The record is from RNAcentral.